RNAcentral lists this ribosomal RNA (775 nucleotides) under Escherichia coli. RNAcentral describes it as "partial 23S ribosomal RNA". It matches the Rfam family "Bacterial large subunit ribosomal RNA", at positions 474 to 1249 of the family's 2925-position model. RNAcentral also lists the same sequence under 1 other name. Lineage: Bacteria; Pseudomonadati; Pseudomonadota; Gammaproteobacteria; Enterobacterales; Enterobacteriaceae. The record is from RNAcentral.
UCCUGACUGACCGAUAGUGAACCAGUACCGUGAGGGAAAGGCGAAAAGAACCCCGGCGAGGGGAGUGAAAAAGAACCUGAAACCGUGUACGUACAAGCAGUGGGAGCACGCUUAGGCGUGUGACUGCGUACCUUUUGUAUAAUGGGUCAGCGACUUAUAUUCUGUAGCAAGGUUAACCGAAUAGGGGAGCCGAAGGGAAACCGAGUCUUAACUGGGCGUUAAGUUGCAGGGUAUAGACCCGAAACCCGGUGAUCUAGCCAUGGGCAGGUUGAAGGUUGGGUAACACUAACUGGAGGACCGAACCGACUAAUGUUGAAAAAUUAGCGGAUGACUUGUGGCUGGGGGUGAAAGGCCAAUCAAACCGGGAGAUAGCUGGUUCUCCCCGAAAGCUAUUUAGGUAGCGCCUCGUGAAUUCAUCUCCGGGGGUAGAGCACUGUUUCGGCAAGGGGGUCAUCCCGACUUACCAACCCGAUGCAAACUGCGAAUACCGGAGAAUGUUAUCACGGGAGACACACGGCGGGUGCUAACGUCCGUCGUGAAGAGGGAAACAACCCAGACCGCCAGCUAAGGUCCCAAAGUCAUGGUUAAGUGGGAAACGAUGUGGGAAGGCCCAGACAGCCAGGAUGUUGGCUUAGAAGCAGCCAUCAUUUAAAGAAAGCGUAAUAGCUCACUGGUCGAGUCGGCCUGCGCGGAAGAUGUAACGGGGCUAAACCAUGCACCGAAGCUGCGGCAGCGACGCUUAUGCGUUGUUGGGUAGGGGAGCGUUCUGUAAGCC